Long non-coding RNA from Pezoporus flaviventris, 1051 nucleotides. RefSeq lists it as uncharacterized. The record is from RefSeq and is a predicted model, not a curated record. The transcript is spliced from 3 exons. NCBI's taxonomy places the organism in Eukaryota, Metazoa, Chordata, Aves, Psittaciformes, Psittacidae.
AAGGCAGAGAUGCGAAGGGGGCAGAGAGGCAAAGGGGAGGGAUGUAAAUGAGAGAGGUGCAAAGGGGGAGGUGAAAAGGGAGGGAUAAAAGGGGAGGGAUGCAAAAGCAGAGUUGCAAAGAGGAGGAAUGCGAAGGGAAGAGAUGGACGGAACGGAGAGUGCAAAGAGGCAAGAUGGAAAAGAGAAGAGAUGAGAAGGGCAAAGCACACUCCGGGGUGAGGGUAGCUACUGCCGGGCACCCCCCAGCCCCAGGGUGGGCACUGGUGGCACCCAGGGCUGUGAGAGGUGAAGGGGUGGCUCGUAGGGUGACGGCAGUACAAGGGUCCCAGGGGAGCAGUGCGGUGCUCACAGCUCCUGCUGGGAACGAAGAGCCUGGGAAAACGAAGAUGCAUGUGUGUGCUGGGAAGCUUGUAACCCUGAUCACCCACUUCUCCCGUUUGAAAUGAGGAUGGAUAAAACUUGCAAGCGGAGAAGAGCAGCUCUUCCCAGCAGCCUGCAACUGUUUCUCGAAAUAUAUCUGGUGAGCAAGAGUGGGUUUGUAGGCAUUUUGAAGAUACAGCAGGUGUCCAUGGAACUGACUUCAGAGCUGAAUGAGCUGCAAGGAGGUCUUGGCCAUGACUCUGGAGCAGAUGCUAUAGAGACCAGAGAUGAGCUCCAGAUUUCAGAGCCUGGUCUCCAAAAAGCCAUGAAGAGGGCAGCACCACCACUUCUGUUUGGUUUUCUGCUCCUUUAGCCAAGAACCACAUUUAUUCUGGUGGCCAGCAUCAUUACAUAAGUAUGCAGCUGUUUUCACUGGUCACUUCUGAAGAUGAAUUGUACUGGCAAAGUACACUUCGAUCAUAGCUCAGUCAAGUGAAGGCAAUUCUGGCCUAGUUUUGGGCCACAACUAUCACCUCUCCAGCACCCAUACACUCACACUGGGUCUCUCCAGCUUCAGGAUCACAAGAGAGCAAUGAUGAAAGGGAUGCUGUACGUGUCCAAGUCCUAAUGUAGCAGUGGUACUGUAGGAUUUUGGCUUCUUGUCUAGAAAUAAAAAGAUGGAUAUGUGAAA